UACGGAGGGUGCAAGCGUUGUUCGGAAUCACUGGGCGUAAAGCGCGUGUAGGCGGCCUUCUCAGUCUGGUGUGAAAGCCCGGGGCUCAACCCCGGAAGUGCAUUGGAUACUGGAAGGCUGGAGUACCGGAGAGGAGGGUGGAAUUCCUGGUGUAGCGGUGAAAUGCGUAGAUAUCAGGAGGAACACCAAUUGCGAAGGCAGCUCGCUGGGACGUUACUGACGCUGAGACGCGAAAGCGUGGGGAGCAAACAGG
This 253-nucleotide ribosomal RNA is filed under the name uncultured bacterium. Its description in RNAcentral is "partial 16S ribosomal RNA". It matches the Rfam family "Bacterial small subunit ribosomal RNA", at positions 524 to 776 of the family's 1533-position model. The record is from RNAcentral.